GUCAGUUUGGCCGAGCGGUCUAAGGCGCCAGACUCAAGUUCUGGUGGAGAAAUCCGCGUGGGUUCGAACCCCACAGCUGACA
RNAcentral lists this transfer RNA (82 nucleotides) under Perkinsus marinus ATCC 50983. It matches the Rfam family "tRNA". Rfam says of the family: Transfer RNA (tRNA) molecules are approximately 80 nucleotides in length. Their secondary structure includes four short double-helical elements and three loops (D, anti-codon, and T loops). Lineage: Eukaryota; Perkinsozoa; Perkinsida; Perkinsidae. The record is from Rfam by way of RNAcentral.